This 275-nucleotide ribosomal RNA is filed under the name uncultured bacterium. RNAcentral describes it as "partial 16S ribosomal RNA". It matches the Rfam family "Bacterial small subunit ribosomal RNA", at positions 399 to 691 of the family's 1533-position model. The record is from RNAcentral.
GCGUGAGUGAUGAAGGCCUUAGGGUUGUAAAGCUCUUUCGCCUGAGACGAUGAUGACGGUAUCAGGAGAAGAAGCCCCGGCUAAUUCCGUGCCAGCAGCCGCGGUAAUACGGAAGGGGCUAGCGUUGUUCGGAAUUACUGGGCGUAAAGCGCGCGCAGGCGGUUAGACAAGUGAGGCGUGAAAGCCCUGGGCUCAACCUGGGAAUUGCGCUUCAGACUGUUUGACUGGAGUUCGGGAGAGGGUGGUGGAAUUCCCAGUGUAGAGGUGAAAUUCGU